UAUUACAGUUUGAUCCUGGCUCAGGAUGAACGCUAGCGGCAGGCUUAAUACAUGCAAGUCGCGGGGCAACAUGUCCCGCAGCAAUGCGGGAUGAUGGCGACCGGCAAACGGGUGCGGAACACGUACACAACCUUCCUUCGAGUGGGGAAUAGCCCGGGGAAACCCGGAUUAAUACCCCGUAACAUAAUGAGGUGGCAUCACUUUAUUAUUAUAGCUCCGGCGCUUGAAGAUGGGUGUGCGACUGAUUAGGCAGUUGGCGGGGUAACGGCCCACCAAACCUACGAUCAGUAACUGGUGUGACAGCACGACCAUGUCACACGGGCACUGAGACACGGGCCCGACUCCUACGGGAGGCAGCAGUAAGGAAUAUUGGCCAAUGGACCCACUUCUGAACCAGCUUUGCCGCGUGGAGGAGGGAUGGUCCCUACAU
This 430-nucleotide ribosomal RNA is filed under the name uncultured Bacteroidota bacterium. RNAcentral describes it as "bacterial SSU rRNA". It matches the Rfam family "Bacterial small subunit ribosomal RNA", at positions 1 to 424 of the family's 1533-position model. The record is from RNAcentral. Lineage: Bacteria; Pseudomonadati; Bacteroidota.